This is a small nuclear RNA of Homo sapiens (human), 164 nucleotides long. The record is from Ensembl. NCBI's taxonomy places the organism in Eukaryota, Metazoa, Chordata, Mammalia, Primates, Hominidae.
AUGCUUAACCUGGCAGAUGAAAUGUCAAAAUCUCAAAGACGGUUUUCUCAGGGUUAGGCCUAUUCAUUGCACUUCAGGUGUGCUGACCCCUGCAGUUUCCCCAAAUAUUGGAACUUGACUGCAUAUUUUGUGGCACUGGCGGACUACAUUUAUACUGUCCCCUG